This is a non-coding RNA of Chlamydotis undulata (Houbara bustard), 162 nucleotides long. Lineage: Eukaryota; Metazoa; Chordata; Aves; Otidiformes; Otididae. The record is from Rfam.
AAACGCCUUCUCACUUAAUGGUUUUAGACGGGGAUCCCCAGCCCCGGCAAAUACGUAAGAGGAUUUUUAUUUGUGCAUGUGUUCCUGCAAUUGAUCUCUUUGAUGACAUCCUCAUUCAUAGAAAGAGUUUGAUUUAUGACUUUCGGAAGAAUCGCGUUCAGC